RNAcentral lists this transfer RNA (68 nucleotides) under Marmota monax (woodchuck). It matches the Rfam family "tRNA". From Rfam's summary of the family: Transfer RNA (tRNA) molecules are approximately 80 nucleotides in length. Their secondary structure includes four short double-helical elements and three loops (D, anti-codon, and T loops). Lineage: Eukaryota; Metazoa; Chordata; Mammalia; Rodentia; Sciuridae. The record is from Rfam by way of RNAcentral.
GGUAUGUAGCUCCAUGGUAGAGUGCUUGCUUUGCACGCAUGAAGCCUUGGGUUCAAUCCCCAGUACCA